UACGAAGGGGGCUAGCGUUGCUCGGAAUCACUGGGCGUAAAGCGCACGUAGGCGGGUUGCUAAGUCAGGGGUGAAAUCCUGGAGCUCAACUCCAGAACUGCCUUUGAUACUGGCAAUCUCGAGUCCGGGAGAGGUGAGUGGAACUGCGAGUGUAGAGGUGAAAUUCGUAGAUAUUCGCAAGAACACCAGUGGCGAAGGCGGCUCACUGGCCCGGUACUGACGCUGAGGUGCGAAAGCGUGGGGAGCAAACAGG
RNAcentral lists this ribosomal RNA (253 nucleotides) under uncultured bacterium. Its description in RNAcentral is "partial 16S ribosomal RNA". It matches the Rfam family "Bacterial small subunit ribosomal RNA", at positions 524 to 776 of the family's 1533-position model. The record is from RNAcentral.